UCAGGAUGAACGCUAGCGGGAGGCCUAACACAUGCAAGCCGAGCGGUAGAGAUUCUUCGGAAUCUUGAGAGCGGCGUACGGGUGCGGAACACGUGUGCAACCUGCCUUUAUCAGGGGGAUAGCCUUUCGAAAGGAAGAUUAAUACCCCAUAAUAUAUUAAGUGGCAUCACUUGAUAUUGAAAACUCCGGUGGAUAAAGAUGGGCACGCGCAAGAUUAGAUAGUUGGUAGGGUAACGGCCUACCAAGUCAGUGAUCUUUAGGGGGCCUGAGAGGGUGAUCCCCCACACUGGUACUGAGACACGGACCAGACUCCUACGGGAGGCAGCAGUGAGGAAUAUUGGACAAUGGGUGAGAGCCUGAUCCAGCCAUCCCGCGUGAAGGAUGACGGCCCUAUGGGUUGUAAACUUCUUUUGUAUAGGGAUAAACCUUUCCACGUGUGGAAAGCUGAAGGUACUAUACGAAUAAGCACCGGCUAACUCCGUGCCAGCAGCCGCGGUAAUACGGAGGGUGCAAGCGUUAUCCGGAUUUAUUGGGUUUAAAGGGUCCGUAGGCGGAUCUGUAAGUCAGUGGUGAAAUCUCACAGCUUAACUGUGAAACUGCCAUUGAUACUGCAGGUCUUGAGUAAGGUAGAAGUAGCUGGAAUAAGUAGUGUAGCGGUGAAAUGCAUAGAUAUUACUUAGAACACCAAUUGCGAAGGCAGGUUACUAUGUCUUAACUGACGCUGAUGGACGAAAGCGUGGGGAGCGAACAGGAUUAGAUACCCUGGUAGUCCACGCCGUAAACGAUGCUAACUCGUUUUUGGGGCUUCGGCUUCAGAGACUAAGCGAAAGUGAUAAGUUAGCCACCUGGGGAGUACGUUCGCAAGAAUGAAACUCAAAGGAAUUGACGGGGGCCCGCACAAGCGGUGGAUUAUGUGGUUUAAUUCGAUGAUACGCGAGGAACCUUACCAAGGCUUAAAUGGGAAUUGAUCGGUUUAGAAAUAGACCUUCCUUCGGGCAAUUUUCAAGGUGCUGCAUGGUUGUCGUCAGCUCGUGCCGUGAGGUGUUAGGUUAAGUCCUGCAACGAGCGCAACCCCUGUCACUAGUUGCUACCAUUAAGUUGAGGACUCUAGUGAGACUGCCUACGCAAGUAGAGAGGAAGGUGGGGAUGACGUCAAAUCAUCACGGCCCUUACGCCUUGGGCCACACACGUAAUACAAUGGCCGGUACAGAGGGCAGCUACACAGCGAUGUGAUGCAAAUCUCGAAAGCCGGUCUCAGUUCGGAUUGGAGUCUGCAACUCGACUCUAUGAAGCUGGAAUCGCUAGUAAUCGCGCAUCAGCCAUGGCGCGGUGAAUACGUUCCCGGGCCUUGUACACACCGCCCGUCAAGCCAUGGAAGUCUGGGGUACCUGAAGUCGGUGACC
This 1403-nucleotide ribosomal RNA is filed under the name Chryseobacterium gwangjuense. RNAcentral describes it as "16S ribosomal RNA". It matches the Rfam family "Bacterial small subunit ribosomal RNA". The record is from RNAcentral. Lineage: Bacteria; Pseudomonadati; Bacteroidota; Flavobacteriia; Flavobacteriales; Weeksellaceae.